Long non-coding RNA from Mizuhopecten yessoensis (Yesso scallop), 545 nucleotides. RefSeq lists it as uncharacterized. NCBI's taxonomy places the organism in Eukaryota, Metazoa, Mollusca, Bivalvia, Pectinida, Pectinidae. The record is from RefSeq and is a predicted model, not a curated record. The transcript is spliced from 5 exons.
GGAGCAUUACUUAAAAAAAAAUCAAUAUUGGUCGGGUUAAAUUUCUCGACCGGUUCAUUCAGUACUGAACAACUGGAGAAACGACUCGACAAAAUAUUCCGUUAAAGGCUUUCAGCGCUGAAAGGGUUUAUAUUAAAACUUCGACAAGAUGGUGGAAGUUGUCCUAAAGUAUGGACCCUACAAGAAAUGAAAAACCGAAUACCACGAUGCUAAGAGGGCCAAGGGAUUGAUUGCUGCAAUAACUGCGGCAGGUCACAAGGUCACCACCCAGAAAACACCGAAGUAUGCAGCGUGUGACUUGUACAUUGGUGCAAAGAAGGUGUGGUCGUCCACCAUUACCAAUUUCCAACCAACUGAUGGUCCUGAUUUGGCAUUGUACAAAGAGGCUGUGAAGACGAUUGACGCUAACAAGGCAUCGUAAUACUCAGCUGUAAUAUGAUGCGGUAAACCUACGUCUCUCUAUGAAGGUUCCAACUUAAACCAUAGACAAGUCGGAACUUGAUGUCAUGAGGCUGUAGAAACCAAAUAAAAUUAUAUAUAUAUAU